CUUACAAACACAGUGAGUAAUCUGCCCCAUUCAGAAACCAGGAUUCUGUUUCCUAGGAUACCCAGAUACACACGAGAUGCCCUUUCACAUAAGAAAGGCCACUGAAAAUGAAUGUCUCCUCCCCAACUCUGAGACGAACAAGGGACAUGUUGGAACAUGGAGAACAAAGCUGGCUCCAGUGAGAGAGAAGAAAGUUGAUUCCACUGAUGUAAGAGGAAGGAGGAAUUCUAUUGGAGAUGGCACCCUGUUCUUGCCGUUCCUGAGUCCCAACUCUUCCUAAUGCUUCUGCAGCGUGGUGGUCCUGUGAGAUACUUUUUUUUGAAGAGUCUCUCCUUGCUUACAGCAGUCCAAGUUUGAUUUCUGUCACUCACAAUGACCCACCCACCUAUUCUGUCCAGAUUCAUACCAUCUGGAUAAGAAACCAAAGUGAAGAACUUGAUAUAACUGGCAUGGUGAGACAAGAGCCAAGCCAUCUAUAGGAGAAACAAGGAAAAACCCAGAAACAUAUCCCUGGCAUGAGGUUCAAUAUAGCAAUGCACAGUUGCUUUCUUGAAUGUCACAGUUGCUUUCUUGAAUGUCACCUUAGCAGGUGGCUUAAUCCCUAAGAUACCGAAACUCUGCUCUCUCCCCAGCUUUGAAAAGACUGAAAAAUUAUUCACAUUCAUGAUCCUGGAAAGACUCAGAAGCCUCUUCUCAAGACAUCAAAUGCUGAUGAGUACAGGUUAACCCCAGGUAGAGGGCUGGCUGAAGGAUCCUUCAAAGUAGGAGGAAAAGUAAAGCCUAAGUAAUAAAACUCUACUUUCUCAUAGAGUGUUGGGGUAAGGAGCUUUUUUUUUUGUUUUUUGGAUGUCCAGGAAGUAUUUGGCUGAAAGAAUCUGAAUUUAUAAAAUAUUCUCAAAUCAAUGACUCUUUCAGACAAAGCAUGGAUCCAUAAAUUUUAGGAAAAAUAUAUAUAUUUGUCCAUUGUUCCACUUUUCUAGUUCUGCCUACAAUGGGUAAGAGACGACUUUGUAUGACAGGCACAGG
Molecule: long non-coding RNA, 1026 nt
Filed under: Capra hircus (goat)
Lineage: Eukaryota; Metazoa; Chordata; Mammalia; Artiodactyla; Bovidae
Description: lncRNA (ENSCHIG00000001048.1)
Source: RNAcentral